CAACGUGCCAGCAGCCGCGGUAAUACGGAAGGUCCGGGCGUUAUCCGGAUUUAUUGGGUUUAAAGGGAGCGUAGGCCGGAGAUUAAGUGUGUUGUGAAAUGUAGACGCUCAACGUCUGACUUGCAGCGCAUACUGGUUUCCUUGAGUACGCACAACGUUGGCGGAAUUCGUCGUGUAGCGGUGAAAUGCUUAGAUAUGACGAAGAACUCCGAUUGCGAAGGCAGCUGACGGGAGCGCAACUGACGCUUAAGCUCGAAGGUGCGGGUAUCGAACAGGAUUAGAUACCCUGGUAGUCCGCACAGUAAACGAUGGAUGCCCGCUGUUGGUACCUGGUAUCAGCGGCUAAGCGAAAGCAUUAAGCAUCCCACCUGGGGAGUACGCACGCAAGUGUGAAACUCAAAGGAAUUGACGGGGGCCCGCACAAGCGGUGGAGCAUGUGGUUUAAUUCGAUGAUACGCGAGGAACCUUACCAAGGUUUAA
This 480-nucleotide ribosomal RNA is filed under the name uncultured bacterium. RNAcentral's name for it is "bacterial SSU rRNA". It matches the Rfam family "Bacterial small subunit ribosomal RNA", at positions 498 to 984 of the family's 1533-position model. The record is from RNAcentral.